AUUGAACGCUGGCGGAAUGCUUUACACAUGCAAGUCGAGCGGCAGCACGGGGGCAACCCUGGUGGCGAGCGGCGGACGGGUGAGUAAUAGAUCGGAACAUGCCCAGUCGUGGGGGAUAAGACUUCGAAAGAAGUGCUAAUACCGCAUACGUCCUGAGGGGGUAAGGGGGGGAUCACAAGACCUCGCGCGCUUGGAGGGGCGGAUGUCAGAUUAGCUAGUUGGUGGGGUAAAGGCCUACCAAGGCAACGAUCUGUAGCUGGUCUGAGAGGAUGAUCAGCCACACUGGGACUGAGACACGGCCCAGACUCCUACGGGAGGCAGCAGUGGGGAAUUUUGGACAAUGGGGGCAAGCCUGAUCCAGCCAUUCCGCGUGAGUGAAGAAGGCCUUCGGGUUGUAAAGCUCUUUUGGCAGGAACGAAACGGUGAGCGCUAACAUAGCUCGCUAAUGACGGUACCUGAAGAAGAAGCACCGGCUAACUACGUG
This 484-nucleotide ribosomal RNA is filed under the name uncultured bacterium. RNAcentral describes it as "partial 16S ribosomal RNA". It matches the Rfam family "Bacterial small subunit ribosomal RNA", at positions 29 to 507 of the family's 1533-position model. The record is from RNAcentral.